This 72-nucleotide transfer RNA is filed under the name Brassica napus (rape). It matches the Rfam family "tRNA". From Rfam's summary of the family: Transfer RNA (tRNA) molecules are approximately 80 nucleotides in length. Their secondary structure includes four short double-helical elements and three loops (D, anti-codon, and T loops). The record is from Rfam by way of RNAcentral. Lineage: Eukaryota; Viridiplantae; Streptophyta; Magnoliopsida; Brassicales; Brassicaceae.
GUGGCUGUAUUAUAGUGGUUAGUACCCCACGUUGUGGCCGUGGAGACCUAGGUUCAAUACUCAGCAGCCACA